AGAGCAAACGGUGGAUGCCUUGGCAUCUGGAGCCGAAGAAGGACGUAUAAAUCUGCGAUAAGCCUCGGGGAGCUGAUAAUAGAGCUUUGAUCCGAGGAUCUCCGAAUGGGGAAACCCCGCCAGGCCCUUUGGGUGACCUGGUGACUCCCGCCUGAAUAUAUAGGGCGGGUAGAGGGAACGUGGGGAAGUGAAACAUCUCAGUACCCACAGGAAGAGAAAGCAAAAGCGAUUCCGUUAGUAGUGGCGAGCGAAACCGGAAGAGGCCAAACCGAUCAUGUGUGAUAUCCGGUAGGAGUUGCAUGGUCGGGGUUGCGGGACUUUCCGUACAGUUCUACCGAGCUGUGAGGGCAAUGAGCGCGAUAUAGACGAAUGGUCUUGAAAGGCCAGUCAUAGAGGGUGCGAACCCCGUAGUCGAAAUAUCGUCGCCUGUCCGGAGAGUAUCCCAAGUAGCACGGGGCCCGAGAAAUCCCGUGUGAAUCUGUCAGGACCACCUGAUAAGCCUAAAUACUCCCAGAUGACCGAUAGCGGACAAGUACCGUGAGGGAAAGGUGAAAAGUACCCCGGGAGGGGAGUGAAAUAGUACCUGAAACCGUUUGCUUACAAACCGUUGGAGCACCCUUGUUGGUGUGACAGCGUGCCUUUUGAAGAAUGAGCCUGCGAGUUAGUGAUAUGUGGCGAGGUUAACCCGUGAGGGGCAGCCGUAGCGAAAGCGAGUCUUAAUAGGGCGUAUGAGUCGCAUGUUCUAGACCCGAAGCGAAGUGAUCUAUCCAUGGCCAGGUUGAAGCGACGGUAAGACGUCGUGGAGGACCGAACCCACUUCAGUUGAAAAUGGAGGGGAUGAGCUGUGGAUAGGGGUGAAAGGCCAAUCAAACUUCGUGAUAGCUGGUUCUCUCCGAAAUGCAUUUAGGUGCAGCGUUGCGUGUUUCUUGCCGGAGGUAGAGCUACUGGAUGGACGAUGGGCCCCAAAAGGUUACUGACUUCAGCCAAACUCCGAAUGCCGGUAAGUGAGAGCGCAGCAGUGAGACGGUGGGGGAUAAGCUUCAUCGUCGAGAGGGAAACAACCCAGACCACCAUCUAAGGUCCCUAAGCGCGUGCUAAGUGGGAAAGGAUGUGGAGUUGCAUAGACAACCAGGAGGUUGGCUUAGAAGCAGCCACCCUUGAAAGAGUGCGUAAUAGCUCACUGGUCAAGUGAUUCCGCGCCGACAAUGUAACGGGGCUCAAGCACGCCACCGAAGUUGUGGCAUUUAUAUUAUAGGCAGGCCUUCGUGGUCCAGCCGUAUGGAUGGGUAGGAGAGCGUCGUGUGGCCAGCGAAGCGGCGGUGUGAACCAGCCGUGGAGGCCACACGAGUGAGAAUGCAGGCAUGAGUAGCGAAAGACGGGUGAGAAACCCGUCCUCCGAAAGACCAAGGGUUCCAGGGCCAGGCUAAUCCGCCCUGGGUAAGUCGGGACCUAAGGCGAGGCCGACAGGCGUAGUCGAUGGACAACGGGUUGAUAUUCCCGUACCGAUGAAGAACCGCCCAAGACAAUCCAGUAAUGCUAAGUGUCUGAAUCCUUGAUUCGAUCCCUUCGGGGUGACGGUCUUGGCCUAGCACACGACCCUACGCUGGGGCGUUUAGCGUAUUAACAGGUGUGACGCAGGAAGGUAGCUGAGCCGGGCGAUGGUUGUCCCGGUCUAAGGAUGUAGGGCAGAAGAUAGGCAAAUCCGUCUUCUAUGUAGCCUGAGACCCGAUGGGUAGUCCUCACGGACGAAAUCAGUGAUCCUAUGCUGCCAAGAAAAGCAUCGACGCGAGGUUCCAAUCGCCCGUACCCCAAACCGACUCAGGUGGUCAGGUAGAGAAUACUAAGGAGAUCGAGAGAAUCGUGGUUAAGGAACUCGGCAAAAUGCCCCCGUAACUUCGGGAGAAGGGGGGCCUGAGGCGUGUAGGGAUUUACUCCUGAAGCGUUUGAAGGCCGCAGAGACCAGUGGGAAGCGACUGUUUACUAAAAACACAGGUCCGUGCUAAGUCGCAAGACGAUGUAUACGGACUGACGCCUGCCCGGUGCUGGAAGGUUAAGAGGAACGGUUAGCACGCAAGUGCGAAGCUGAGAAUUUAAGCCCCAGUAAACGGCGGUGGUAACUAUAACCAUCCUAAGGUAGCGAAAUUCCUUGUCGGGUAAGUUCCGACCUGCACGAAUGGCGUAACGACUUCCCAGCUGUCUCAACCGCGAACUCGGCGAAAUUGCACUACGAGUAAAGAUGCUCGUUACGCGCAGCAGGACGGAAAGACCCCGUGACCUUUACUACAGCUUGGUAUUGGUGUUCGGUGUGGCUUGUGUAG
RNAcentral lists this ribosomal RNA (2318 nucleotides) under Clavibacter michiganensis. RNAcentral's name for it is "bacterial LSU rRNA". It matches the Rfam family "Bacterial large subunit ribosomal RNA", at positions 14 to 2141 of the family's 2925-position model. Lineage: Bacteria; Bacillati; Actinomycetota; Actinomycetes; Micrococcales; Microbacteriaceae. The record is from RNAcentral.